UUCCGGUUGAUCCCGCCGGACCUGACUGCUAUCGGAUUGAUACUAAGCCAUGCGAGUCUUUGCAGUAAUGCAAGGCAUACGGCUCAGUAACACGUAGUCAACUUACCCUAUGGACGAGGAUAAUCUCGGGAAACUGAGCACAAUACUCGAUAGAUCAUAAUGCCUGGAAUGGUUUAUGGUUGAAAUGAUUCGUCGCCAUAGGAUGGGACUGCGGCCUAUCAGCUUGUUGGUGAGGUAAUGGCCCACCAAGGCGAUUACAGGUACGGGCUCUGAGAGGAGAAGCCCGGAGAUGGGUACUGAGACAAGGACCCAGGCCCUAUGGGGCGCAGCAGGCGAGAAAACUUUGCAAUGUGCGAAAGCACGACAAGGUUAAUCCGAGUGAUUUCUGCUAAAGAAAUCUUUUGCAAGUCAUAAAACCACUAGUGAAUAAGGGGUGGGCAAGUUCUGGUGUCAGCCGCCGCGGUAAAACCAGCACCUCAAGUGGUCAGGAGGAUUAUUGGGCCUAAAGCAUCCGUAGCCGGCUCUGUAAGUUUUCGGUUAAAUCCAUGUGCUCAACGCAUGGGCUGCCGAAAAUACUGCAUAGCUAGGGAGUGGGAGAGGUAGACGGUACUCGGUAGGAAGGGGUAAAAUCCUUUGAUCUAUCGAUGACCACCUGUGGCGAAGGCGGUCUACCAGAACACGUUCGACGGUGAGGGAUGAAAGCUGGGGGAGCAAACCGGAUUAGAUACCCGGGUAGUCCCAGCCGUAAACGAUGCAGACUCGAUGAUGCAUUGGCAUAUAGCCAGUGCAGUGUCGCAGGGAAGCCGUUAAGUCUGCCGCCUGGGAAGUACGUACGCAAGUAUGAAACUUAAAGGAAUUGGCGGGGGAGCACCACAAGGGGUGAAGCCUGCGGUUCAAUUGGAAUCAACGCCGGA
RNAcentral lists this ribosomal RNA (914 nucleotides) under uncultured archaeon. RNAcentral's name for it is "bacterial SSU rRNA". It matches the Rfam family "Archaeal small subunit ribosomal RNA", at positions 1 to 922 of the family's 1478-position model. The record is from RNAcentral.